Molecule: ribosomal RNA, 497 nt
Filed under: uncultured bacterium
Lineage: Bacteria
Description: partial 16S ribosomal RNA
Rfam family: Bacterial small subunit ribosomal RNA
Source: RNAcentral
GAUGAACGCUGGCGGCGUGCCUAAUACAUGCAAGUCGAGCGAACAGAUGAGGAGCUUGCUCCUCUGACGUUAGCGGCGGACGGGUGAGUAACACGUGGAUAACCUACCUAUAAGACUGGGAUAACUUCGGGAAACCGGAGCUAAUACCGGAUAAUAUAUUGAACCGCAUGGUUCAAUAGUGAAAGACGGUUUUGCUGUCACUUAUAGAUGGAUCCGCGCCGCAUUAGCUAGUUGGUAAGGUAACGGCUUACCAAGGCAACGAUGCGUAGCCGACCUGAGAGGGUGAUCGGCCACACUGGAACUGGGACACGGUCCAGACUCCUACGGGAGGCAGCAGUAGGGAAUCUUCCGCAAUGGGCGAAAACCUGACGGAGCAACGCCGCGUGAGUGAUGAAGGUCUUCGGAUCGUAAAACUCUGUUAUUAGGGAAGAACAAAUGUGUAAGUAACUAUGCACGUCUUGACGGUACCUAAUCAGAAAGCCACGGCUAACUACGUG